This is a long non-coding RNA of Vespa mandarinia (Asian giant hornet), 4216 nucleotides long. Lineage: Eukaryota; Metazoa; Arthropoda; Insecta; Hymenoptera; Vespidae. The record is from RefSeq and is a predicted model, not a curated record.
ACAUACAUACAUACAUACAUACAUACAUACAUACAUACAUGCAUACAUACAUACAUACAUACAAUACAUACAAUACACAUAUAUGUUGCUUUGUACAUACGUGAUAUUGUAUAAACAUAGAAAUACGCACACACACGCACGCAUACAUGCAUGCACAUACACGCGGAAACAAUAGACCAAUGACAACUAACAAACAAAACAAAAAGAAACAAGUAAAAGGUGACCAAAAGAAUGUCAUCAUCGAUUUGUAUGAGAAAAAAUUCACGUGAGUUACGAAGUUAUGGGAUUUAUCAAAAAAGAAAAAAAAAAUGAAAAAAAGAAGGAGAAAAAACCAAACAAAAAAAUUAGAAAGAAAAACGAAUAAACGAAAACAAACAGUGACGAGAAUAUAUUCGAUGCGUGAUAAAGAGAGAAAAACAGAUAUAUAUAUAUAUAUAUAUAGAGAGAGAGAGAGAGAGAGAGAGAGAGAGAGAGAAAAUGAGUAAAAGUGAAUGAAAGUGAAAGAGAGAGAGAGAAAGACAAAGAAUGAAUGAGAGAGAGAGAGAGAGAGAGAAAGAAAUGACGAAAUAGAAGUAACGAAAAUAACACUACCAGCACGUAACAACAAAGGAAAGAUAAAUAAGUAAAUAAAUAAAUAAAUAAAUAAAUAAAUAAAUAAAUAAGUAAAUAAAUAAAUAAAUGAUAAAAUAAUAAUUAUUUAAAAAAAAAGUAAAAAAUGAAAAAAAAAAAAGAAAGAGGGAAAGAAGAAAAGAAAAGAAUACAAAACAAAGCAAACAAUUAAACACAGAGAGAGCCAGUAAGAGAAAGAGAGAAAGUGACAAAUCUCCCCUUCGAUAACAAAUGAGAAUGAUAAUAAUAGUUGAGCGUAAGAGAUAGCGAUGAUUAAAAAACGAUUAUUAAAUGAGAAAGAGAGAAAGGAAAAAAAACAAAUAAAAGAGAGAGAGAGAGAGAGAGAGAGCAAGAGAGCGAGAUACAGAAAGAGAGAGGAAUAGAUUAUAUAUUCUUGAGCUCUGUCAUGGGAGAGGAGGGAGUGAGAUAAAGAGGGAUGAAAGGGGAACGGAAGACGGGGUGCAAUUUCAAGAGAUCAGCAAUGAUGGAAUUUGUAUUUUACGAAUUUUCCUUCUUGCUUCUCUUCAAAUGGGGUUGUUCCUCUCUCUUUCUCUCUCUCUCUCUCUCUUUCUCUCCCUUUCCCUCUCCCACUCUUUCUCUCUCUCUCUCUCUCUCUCUUUCUUUCUUUUUUGCUAGAAGUGUAUAUAUAGUGUAAUAUCACUGAAAACUUUUCUGGCUACUCAAAAGUUCCUAAUAUUUUUCUUCUCGUCGUUAACGUUUAGGGUUAAUUAUUGUAUUAAUUACCGAUCGAGUUCAAUCGAGUCUCGUACCAAAGAGGAAAACGUAAGUCAAAUGUUGAUCGCUAUGCAUUUUAUUCUUUCCAAAUUCGAGAAACGUUCGUGUCAUUUUUCUUUUUGUUGGUUUUCCUUUUCUUCUUCUUCUUCUUCUUCUUCUUCAUUGUUUUUCGUUUAUUUAUUUAUUCUGUUAUUUUUUUUUUUCUUUUUUUUUUUUUUUUUCUUUUUUUUGUGACAAGCGUAAUCGCGAGAACCAACGAAUAAUAAUCGAAUACUCAGAUGAUUUAUUUGAAAUAUGUGUGUAUAAGUAUAUAUAUAUAUAUAUAUAUAUAUAUAUAUAUAUUAAUAACAAUUAAAUAAACAUAUUAAUAAAAAUUAAAUAAACAAGAAAAUAUAAAUUGAAAGUAUAAACGAGAAACGGUAUACGUCUUGUCGUCUCUUUUUAUUUUUGUUUUUAAAUUAUAAAAUUAUAACGAACGAUUCGUAAUACGAAUAUUUAUUAUAAAUAUAACUGAUAAGUAAUAAACUCAUAGCGAUGAUUACGAUAAUGAUCAUCCUUUUUUUCCUAAUUUCUUUGUUUUUUUUUUUUUUUUUUUAAUUUCAAUUCUUUUCUUUUCCGAACGAGAUAUGAAAAAACGAGAAACAUAUAAUCACUGCCAUACGAUAAAUAUAUAAAAUAACAUAUUAACGUGUUCGUCGAGGAGAGAGUAUAUUAGUCGGGAAAUAAAUAAAAGUUUUUUGUUUUUAUUUAUUUAUUUAUUUUUUUUCUUUUUUCUUCUUUUUGUUUCUUUUUCUCUAUUCUUUUUCAACUGCAAAUUUUCUUGCGAGAGAAAGACGUACGAUCGAUUUGAAAAAGUACUUCUUUUUUUGUCUCUUUUAUUAACAAUUUUUUUUUUCUUUUUUUGUUUUUAUUUUUAUCGUCAAGACACACCACGUUACGAGGACGGAAAGAAGAGAGCAAAGAAAGAUCUAAUUGAGAAUGUAUUUUUUUUUUUUCUUCUCAAGACAGAAAUAGAGAGAGUGGGAGAGAGAGAGAGAGAGAGAGAGACUCGAUAACAAAAUAUUGAGAUUAGAAAAAAAGGAUAUUUGAGAAGCCAGAAAGGAUAAUAAUGCGUGCAGAGCCAAUAAUCUGUUAUAUUUCGUCGCGUUGGUAUUUGUCCGGGAUUGGUUUGGAAGGAAAUGUUAAACGAUGAAGUUAAUAGGAAUGAAAAAGGGACAGAGAGAGAGAGAGAGAGAGAGAGAUAGAGAGAGAGAGAGACAUAGAAUUAAAGAUAUAGAAUUAGAUCUCCUUGAGACCUAUCCCGGAACCAAUCGACGACGAUUUGUUAUUAUGCCAGAAAUCUGUUAGGUUUUUUGUCCUACAAUAAGUAGCGUUUAAAAAUAGAAAUGGAAAGAACAGUAGAAAUAGCCGUUUUGUAUUGUUUUUGUUUGUCACAAUUUUUCGUUCCUUCUUUUUUCCACUCUUUUCUUUUCUUUUCUUAACGUUUCUUAUUUUUUUUUUUUUUUUUUUUUUUUUCUUUUUUUUUUCUUCUCCGUAUCUUUUCUUGUCUUCGAAGCGAAAAAAGAAAAUUGGGAAAGAACUUUAAUAUCAACGAUUGUUCGUCAUGGAUUUACAAAAAAGAAAAAAAAAAAAAAACAGGAGAAAAAACAAAAAAAAAAAAAGAGGGAUAAUUAUAUUGAUACAACGGUGUAUGCGUUUUUUGGGAUUAGAGGGGUAGGCGGGCUAAGAAAAAAGAAAAAAUAAUAACAACCAAAAAAAAAAAAAGGAAAGAAAAGAAAAGGAAAGAAAAUUAAAAGAAAGAAUAAUAAAGGAAGAAGUAAAAUCAUGUGGAUAAUGAAAUUUUAUCGAAAUUCGAAAUGCGUGAAGUCAAAAUGCGAGAUACAGGAAAAAAUGAGAUGAUUAUCGGGCGAGGUGCCGGUGUAACAUAUUGUUAAGAAGGAGAAAGAGAGAAAAAAGAGAGAGAGAUAGAGAGAGAGAUAGAUAGAGAGAGAGAGAGAGCAUAAUGAUAAUGAUGAUAAUGAUAAAAGCAAAAGAAGAAAAAAAAAAAAAGUAAAAAGCAGAAAGAAAGAAAGAAAGAAAAAAAGAAAGAAAGAAAGAAAGAAGGUAUUUUUACUCCCUUCGAUCUUUCCACUUAUCUUUCUUCUUCUUUUCUUUCCUUUUACUGUCUCUCUCUCUCUCUCUUUUUUCUUUUUUUUUAAAUUUCUUUUUUACAUUGUAACGCUCGCGCUCCUUAUCACGACACAAUUUCGAUUUCCUCUUUCACGCGUCAUUUUUAAGACGACGUGUGUUAAAUUAAAAUUUAUCUGGGCUGUUUCGCCGGAAUAAUAUUUCGACAUUUCUAAAAAAGAAAAUCUUCACGAUUAAAGGAAAGAGAGAGAGAGAGAGAGAGAGAAGUUUGCGCUCAUUUUCUCAAAUGAGAGAUUCGAUCCUCGAAGGCAAAAAAAAGAAAAGAAAAUCAAAAAUGAAUUCUUAACCUUUUUUCGGCAAAUCCAAAAUUGUUUUUUUUUUUUUCUAUCCGUCGAUCAGCCCGAUCAUGCCUAUGCGACGCCAUCCUUUUCCUCCUUAAAAAAAUCUCGGACACGAUCAAACGAUCUCGUCGUUGUUUUCUUAUCGAUCCUCCUCUAAUUGUUACCGAGCAAAAAGAGAGAAAGAGAGACAGAGAAAGAGAGAGAGAGAGAGAUGAAAGAUAAUGACGAUGAAACAAAAUUUUAUUAGGGAAAUCUUUUCUGUGUCGUGAUAAAGCGCGAGAGAAAUAGAAAAGGAAAAAAGAAAAAAAAAGAAAAAAAAGAACACGCAAAAAAGAAAAUUGUUCACCGAGUUUUAAUCGUCCGCGAGCCACGCCAAGUUCAAAAGCGUAAGAGAAAUAAAAAAA